AACGCACCUUGCGCCCCUUGGUAUUCCGAGGGGCAUGCCUGUUUGAGUGUCAUUAAAUUCUCAACCUUACUAGCUUUUGCGAAGUAAUGGCUUGGACUUGGGGGUCUUUUGCUGGUUUCGAAAGAGAUCUGCUCCCCUUAAAUGCAUUAGCCGGUGCCCCGCGUGGACCGUCUAUUGGUGUGAUAAUUAUCUACGCCGUUAGAUGUCUGCUAUUAAAUGGGAUGCGCUGCUUCUAAUCGUCCUCUAGGACAAUUAUUGACCAUUUGACCUCAAAUCAGGUAGGACUACCCGCUGAACUUAA
RNAcentral lists this unclassified non-coding RNA (301 nucleotides) under uncultured fungus. RNAcentral's name for it is "partial contains 5.8S ribosomal RNA, internal transcribed spacer 2, and large subunit ribosomal RNA". The stretch from base 1 to 52 matches the Rfam family "5.8S ribosomal RNA", at positions 103 to 154 of the family's 154-position model. Lineage: Eukaryota; Fungi. The record is from RNAcentral.